GGAGAGAUGCCUGAGCUGGCUCAAAGGAAUACCUUGCUAAGGUGUCGACUACUAAGUAGUCCGAGGGCUCGAAUCCCUCUCUCUCUA
RNAcentral lists this transfer RNA (87 nucleotides) under Dinophyceae sp. TGD. Its description in RNAcentral is "tRNA-Ser". It matches the Rfam family "tRNA". Rfam says of the family: Transfer RNA (tRNA) molecules are approximately 80 nucleotides in length. Their secondary structure includes four short double-helical elements and three loops (D, anti-codon, and T loops). The record is from RNAcentral. Lineage: Eukaryota; Dinophyceae.